GUGGGGAAUAUUGCACAAUGGGGGAAACCCUGAUGCAGCAACGCCGCGUGAGUGAAGAAGUCAUUCGUGAUGUAAAGCUCUAUCAGCAGGGAAGAAGAUGACGGUACCUGAGUAAGAAGCCCCGGCUAACUACGUGCCAGCAGCCGCGGUAAUACGUAGGGGGCAAGCGUUAUCCGGAUUUACUGGGUGUAAAGGGAGCGUAGACGGAUAGAUAAGUCCGAAGUGAAAUGCCAGUGCUCAACACUGGAACUGCUUUGGAAACUGUAGAUCUAGAGUGCGGGAGAGGUAAGUGGAAUUCCUAGUGUAGCGGUGAAAUGCGUAGAUAUUAGGAGGAACACCAGUGGCGAAGGCGGCUUACUGGACCGUAACUGACGUUGAGGCUCGAAAGCGUGGGGAGCAAACAGGA
Molecule: ribosomal RNA, 406 nt
Filed under: uncultured bacterium
Lineage: Bacteria
Description: bacterial SSU rRNA
Rfam family: Bacterial small subunit ribosomal RNA
Source: RNAcentral